AUUGAACGCUGGCGGCAUGCCUUACACAUGCAAGUCGAACGGUAACAGGUCUUCGGAUGCUGACGAGUGGCGAACGGGUGAGUAAUACAUCGGAACGUGCCCGAUCGUGGGGGAUAACGAAGCGAAAGCUUUGCUAAUACCGCAUACGAUCUAAGGGUGAAAGCAGGGGACCGAAAGGCCUUGCGCGAACGGAGCGGCCGAUGGCAGAUUAGGUAGUUGGUGGGCUAAAAGCUUACCAAGCCGACGAUCUGUAGCCGGUCUGAGAGGACGACCAGCCACACUGGGACUGAGACACGGCCCAGACUCCUACGGGAGGCAGCAGUGGGGAAUUUUGGACAAUGGGCGAAAGCCUGAUCCAGCCAUGCCGCGUGCAGGAUGAAGGCCUUCGGGUUGUAAACUGCUUUUGUACGGAACGAAAAGACUCUGGUUAAUACCUGGGGUCCAUGACGGUACCGUAAGAAUAAGCACCGGCUAACUACGUGCCAUCCGCCGCCGUAA
This 498-nucleotide ribosomal RNA is filed under the name uncultured bacterium. RNAcentral's name for it is "partial 16S ribosomal RNA". It matches the Rfam family "Bacterial small subunit ribosomal RNA", at positions 30 to 523 of the family's 1533-position model. The record is from RNAcentral.